Molecule: ribosomal RNA, 502 nt
Filed under: uncultured bacterium
Lineage: Bacteria
Description: partial 16S ribosomal RNA
Rfam family: Bacterial small subunit ribosomal RNA
Source: RNAcentral
ACUCAAAUGAAUUGACGGGGACCCGCACAAGCGGUGGAACAUGUGGUUUAAUUCGAGGCAACGCGAAGAACCUUACCAGGAUUUGACAUGCCUCUCGCGGACUCCCGAAAAGGAGUCCUUCGGUUCGGCCGGAGAGGACACAGGUGCUGCAUGGCUGUCGUCAGCUCGUGUCGUGAGAUGUUGGGUUAAGUCCCGCAACGAGCGCAACCCUCGUCUUCUGUUGCUAACAGGUUAGGCUGAGCACUCUGAAGAAACUGCCGGUGAUAAGCCGGAGGAAGGUGGGGAUGACGUCAAGUCCUCAUGGCCCUUACAUCCUGGGCUACACACGUGUUACAAUGGUGGUGACAAUGAGUCGCGAUCCCGCAAGGGCUAGCCAAUCUCAAAAAGCCACCUCAGUUUGGAUUGUACUCUGCAACUCGAGUACAUGAAAUUGGAAUCGCUAGUAAUCGCGGAUCAGAACGCCGCGGUGAAUACGUUCCCGGGUCUUGCACACACCGCCCGU